AGGCUAUUAGCUCAAAUGGUAAGCAAUGUGCAUUUAUGUACAUGGUAUGGGUUCAAGUCCCAUAUAGCCUA
RNAcentral lists this transfer RNA (71 nucleotides) under Spinacia oleracea (spinach). It matches the Rfam family "tRNA". Rfam says of the family: Transfer RNA (tRNA) molecules are approximately 80 nucleotides in length. Their secondary structure includes four short double-helical elements and three loops (D, anti-codon, and T loops). The record is from Rfam by way of RNAcentral. Lineage: Eukaryota; Viridiplantae; Streptophyta; Magnoliopsida; Caryophyllales; Amaranthaceae.